RNAcentral lists this long non-coding RNA (1987 nucleotides) under Monodelphis domestica (gray short-tailed opossum). RNAcentral's name for it is "lncRNA (ENSMODG00000033366.2)". Lineage: Eukaryota; Metazoa; Chordata; Mammalia; Didelphimorphia; Didelphidae. The record is from RNAcentral.
AAGUUGUUUUUUUUCCCAUCAAUGGAAGAAAAAAUUACAUUUCUUAACAAACUAACUAUAUGUAAGAUGUAGCAGACCGCUUCCUGGAUAUGGGCAAGGGGAAAACAGUAUGUGCAGAUUGCUCAGUCUUGGGCAUGCUCAGUAGUGCUCAUGGCUAGGAAGGCCUCUGACCCUUGACCCCAGCUUCUCCCAGGUUAGGCGGGAAAACAGGUUUCUUUGUUCUCACCUGGUUAAGAGAAACCACACCUAUGCCUUGUCAUUAACCAAUGAGAAUCAUCCCUAUGUACUGUGUAUAUUUGCAUAUCAAAAACUAUAUCUAGCCCAGCAGGCUCCGCCUUCCCUCUCUCUGCUCUCUGCCCUCUGCCCUCUACUCUCUGCGCUCCUUCUCUUUCAGGCUACCUGAUGGCUGUCCUUGCAGGAGCUUGGCCUCUGGCCGAGCUCCAUCUUUAAUCUUUCUCUAUUCACCUCUCUGACCUGCGUGGAAUGGAUCUCAGGACUGGAAUAGCCUACUGAAUUGGUCCUUUGAUCAGAGCUUAGCUGUGGCUCAUUGAUAAUUAAUAAAGACUCAUCCUGAACACCUCAUAUCUCUACUAGGACUCCGUCACUUCCCUCGUGGUAUCAAAACUUCUAUCCUGUCUCUAUCUUCCUACCUUGUGGCUUCUCUCACCUCUGAGAGAGCUACAGAUGGCGCCCACGUGCUUAGGGCCCACUCCUAGCACUCUCGUGGCAUUCCACUCUUUUAUUUCACACAGCGAAUGGGAGAACGCGUUCGAGGACACGAGGCUAAUAGUAGGCGGGUGCCGGAGUUCCAGGAAGGUUGCCGAUCCUCUGGCCAAGGACGAUAAUGAAAACAUCUGGUCUCCCACGUCAUGCUUCAUGCCAGCUGAUACAGACCAGGAAGAGAAGCAGACGGAAGGUGAUGGCAUCAGCUACCUACAUGCCAGCCACAAUCCAGACUCGCUGGAAGGACACUUCUUUGGUGACUAAUAUCACUCUAGAACAAUGACAUUACACUAUUAGAGACAUUGGCUAUUAGACCACUGACGGACACUUGUCAUGCUGACAUCCAUUGAGAUGGGGUACCCAGAGCAACAUCAAGUAUGCUAAUUCAAAAGGACUAAAUCACACUUGUGUCUGUACAAGACACCAGAUACAUCCCACAUUCCAAAGACUUUGCGAUGGGAUUGAGAUGAAAUAGCUACAAAUUGUCUAGCUACUAAAGUAUACCUUGUAUUUUGUAUAUGAUACUGUCAAAGGGAAUUUUGUAUGCAUUAUGAAUUGUAUGCAUUGUAAAUCCACCACUUGUAUUGUAAGAAAUGCUGUUAACAAGGGUAUAGACCUUGGUAUGACUCUCCAAAGAGCAGGAGAUAGAAAACUUUCAUUCAUAGCAUAGAUCUGAUACCUCUGACAUCAAAAAUGAGGUGCUAAGCAGAAAAUGCUGCACAGCCAUGUCUAAUGGACAGAUGACACUGAUGUUACUCUCAAGAAAGAAUGAGAGAUCAGGAAAAAGACACUAGGAAAUCUUUAAUCAGGAACUUGAGUUAUUGUAAGAGAUCAUUGACAUCCAGGCAAAGAUUAUGUUCCUGACAUUACAUUAAGGGCUGACUACCAGAGAUGUAGUUAAGUGUUAAUACCAUUGUUAACCAUUACUCCUGAUACCCUGUCUUUGUGGGUAAUAUCUUGAUAGGAAAAAUGUCUUGCUCUCCUCCAACAGUCCCAGAAUUCAGACGGCCGCUGGAUUCGGGAUCUAUUGGCUUCCCUUUCAUAUACUGGAAGACGUUCUGGUAUAUGGAAGUAAGACCUCAUGAAAAACUGAGGACUCUAGGUUUGACAAUUUCUGUGGACGCGCAGUCAUUGUCUCUCCUAGGUGGAAAAAAUUAUUAUUGCACAAAAACAUGGAGCAAGGGCAAAGUAUAAUCUAAGUUUUACUGUUUUGGAGUAUGGAUUGAAAACAUGACACAAUAGGCACAGAUAAGCGUGCAGAAAA